ACUGCCUUCCUGAUGAGUUUUGGUCUCGUUGUCUUCGGGACUGCUAAUCAUGGGAUUUUUUUUUAGAAGAUCUGUUGGCUAAGGAACAUGUUCACCUGUUUCUUUUCGUUUUCAGUGAGUCUUACAUUUUCCCUUCUUUGAAAGUGUCAUUCUCUACAGCUAAUUCCUGAGUGAUGACAUAAGGUUUGUCUGUCGUCUCUUUCCAGGACUUCCAAAUUUGCCUUGACUCUUUCCUCUGUGCAGAUUGCUGUGCAUUCACUGUCACUUCUUUGUUAUCAGAUGCCCAAAAUGAAAUUUUCUUCUUAAGGGUUAUGUUCCAACCUCUUUGGCAUGUUUUAAGGGAAGUGCCUUAAAUUACAGCCUGCCUUGUGGAAGGAAAAGUGACAUUUUGUGCAAGUGGCGAUUAUCUUCCUUCAUUUUGACUGAUUGUCCAGCUACCAAGAAGGGUGACACAGGUAUUUAUUUCCUUGUUGAAAAUGAGGCAAUGAAAUUGAGCUCAAUCUGCGACUAUAAGGAAAUGCUUUUUUAAGAAUCCCCUGGACUUAGUGUCUGUUUAUAAGACAGGAUAUUACUGAGAAAGUCUCUAUACUCUUAUUGUAAUAAAUCUAGACUAUUUGGUGAUCUAAUAUCUGUA
Molecule: long non-coding RNA, 634 nt
Filed under: Anser cygnoides (Swan goose)
Lineage: Eukaryota; Metazoa; Chordata; Aves; Anseriformes; Anatidae
Description: lncRNA (ENSACDG00005018788.1)
Source: RNAcentral